RNAcentral lists this ribosomal RNA (253 nucleotides) under uncultured Eubacteriales bacterium. RNAcentral's name for it is "uncultured Clostridiales bacterium partial 16S ribosomal RNA". It matches the Rfam family "Bacterial small subunit ribosomal RNA", at positions 524 to 776 of the family's 1533-position model. Lineage: Bacteria; Bacillati; Bacillota; Clostridia; Eubacteriales. The record is from RNAcentral.
UACGUAGGGGGCAAGCGUUAUCCGGAUUUACUGGGUGUAAAGGGAGCGUAGACGGCGUGCCAAGUCUGAUGUGAAAGGCCGGGGCUCAACCCCGGGACUGCAUUGGAAACUGGCAUGCUAGAGUGCCGGAGGGGCAAGCGGAAUUCCUAGUGUAGCGGUGAAAUGCGUAGAUAUUAGGAGGAACACCGGUGGCGAAGGCAGCAUACCGGCGCCCGACUGACGCUGAGGCACGAAAGCGUGGGGAUCGAACAGG